UGCCAGCCGCCGCGGUAAUACGGAGGGGGUUAGCGUUGUUCGGAAUUACUGGGCGUAAAGCGUACGUAGGCGGAUUAAUAAGUUAGAGGUGAAAUCCUGCAGCUUAACUGCAGAACUGCCAUUGAUACUGUACGUCUUGAAUUCGGUCGAAGUGGGCGGAAUGUGUAGUGUAGCGGUGAAAUGCAUAGAUAUUACACAGAACACCGAUAGCGAAGGCAGCUCACUAGGCCUGGAUUGACGCUCAGGGACGAAAGCGUGGGGAUCAAACAGGAUUAGAUA
This 279-nucleotide ribosomal RNA is filed under the name uncultured bacterium. RNAcentral's name for it is "partial 16S ribosomal RNA". It matches the Rfam family "Bacterial small subunit ribosomal RNA", at positions 506 to 784 of the family's 1533-position model. The record is from RNAcentral.